RNAcentral lists this unclassified non-coding RNA (235 nucleotides) under Hevea brasiliensis (rubber tree). Lineage: Eukaryota; Viridiplantae; Streptophyta; Magnoliopsida; Malpighiales; Euphorbiaceae. The record is from RNAcentral.
GUGCACUCCCGACGUUCCCGUUAUCUGCUCUGAAUCAAGUCGUUGGUUCUCUUUUCUACUUUGAAAGGCUUGGAACAGAAUACACAGAAGAAAGCGAAAGAAUUUGGGAAAACUAAGCAGGAACCCCACAAGGAAAGAAAAAACACCCAAUCAAUGGCCACAUUACACCCACCUUGGACAGAAACCUGUCCUUAGAUAUUUUUCAUUCGCGUCUUCUCUCUCUCUCUUUCUCUCU